RNAcentral lists this ribosomal RNA (393 nucleotides) under uncultured bacterium. RNAcentral describes it as "bacterial SSU rRNA". It matches the Rfam family "Bacterial small subunit ribosomal RNA", at positions 29 to 412 of the family's 1533-position model. The record is from RNAcentral.
AAUGAACGCUGGCGGCGCGCCUAAUACAUGCAAGUCGAGCGAGAAGACGUAGCAAUACGUUUGUAAAGCGGCGAACGGGUGAGGAAUACAUGGGUAACCUACCCUCGAGUGGGGAAGUAACUAGCCGAAAGGUUAGCUAAUACCGCGUACGCUCCUUGGACUUCGGUUCAGGGAGGAAAGCGAUACCGUGGGUAUCGCGCUCUUGGUUGGGCUCAUGUCCUAUCAGCUUGUUGGUGAGGAACGGCUCACCAAGGCUUCGACGGGUAGCUGGUCUGAGAGGACGAUCAGCCACACUGGCACUGCGACACGGGCCAGACUCCUACGGGAGGCAGCAGUAAGGAAUAUUGCGCAAUGGGCGAAAGCCUGACGCAGCGACGCCGCGUGGGGGAUGAA